RNAcentral lists this long non-coding RNA (1249 nucleotides) under Chrysolophus pictus (golden pheasant). Its description in RNAcentral is "lncRNA (ENSCPIG00010007523.1)". Lineage: Eukaryota; Metazoa; Chordata; Aves; Galliformes; Phasianidae. The record is from RNAcentral.
GGGUUAUGGGGUCGUUGUGGGGCUGAGUGUGGGGCUAUGGGGUCAGAAUGUGGGGGAAUGGGGUCUGAACGUGCGGUUGUGGGGUUUUGAGGUCGUUAUGGGGCUGAGUCUGGGGUUUUGGGGUCGGAAUGUGGGGGAAUGGGGUCAGAAUGUGGGGGAAUGCGGCUGAAUGGGGGGUUAUGGGGUCGUUGUGGGGCUGAGUGUGGGGCUAUGGGGUCAGAAUGUGAGGUUGUGGGGUGAUGGGACUCGUUGUGGGGUUAUGGGGUCGUUGUGGGACUGAGUGUGGGGUUGUGGGGUCAGAAUGUGAGGUUAUGGGGUGAUGGGACUGCUUGUGGGGUUAUGGAGUCGUUGUGAGGCUGCGUGCGGGGAUAUGGGGUCAGAAUGUGGGGGAAUGGGGCUGAGUGUGGGGUUAUGGGGUCAGAAUGUGAGGGAAUGGGGCUGAGUGUGGGGAUAUGGGGUCAGAAUGUGAAGUUGUGGGGUCGUUGUGGGGCUGAGUGCAGGCAUAUGGGGUCCGGAUGUGGGUUAAUGGGGCUGACUGUGGGGUUAUGGGGUCAGAAUGUCAGGUUGUGGGGUGAUGAGACUCAUGGGGUUAUGGGGUUGUUUGUGGGGUCAGGUUGUGGGGGAAUGGGGUCAGAAUGUGGGGUUGUGGGGCUGAUUGUGGGUUUUUGGGGUCAGAAUGUGGGGUUAUGGGGCUGAGUGUGGGGUUAUGGGGUCAGAAUGUCAGGUUGUGGGGUUAUGGGGUCGUUGUGGUCCUGAGUAUGGGAUUAGGAUAUGGGGUCAGAAUGUGGGGGAAUGGGGUCAGAAUGUGGGGGAAUGGGGCUGAAUGGGGGGUUAUGGGGUCGUUAUGGGGCUGAGUGUGGGGUUGUGGGAUUAGAAUGUGGGAUUAUGGGGUGGUUAUGGGGCUGAGUGUGGGGUUGUGGGAUUAGAAUGUGGGAUUAUGGGGCUGAGUGUGGGCUUAUGGGGUUUUUAUGGGGCUCAGUGUGAGCUUGUGGGGUCAGAAUGCGGGGUUAUGGGGUUAUGGGACUCAUUGUGGGGCUGUAGGGUCGUUGUGGGGUCAGAAUGGGGGAUUGUGGGGUCGGUGUGGGGUUAUGGGGUGGGACUGCGGAGUUAUGGGAUUGCAGUGUGGGGUUAUGGGGUCGUUAUGGGGUUGUUAUGGGGUUAUGGGAUUCAUUGUGGGGUUAUGGGGCCGGAAUAUGGGGUUAUGGGGCUGGUGUGGGGUUAUGGGGCCGGAAUAUGGGGUUAUGGGGCU